GACGAACGCUGGCGGCGUGCUUAACACAUGCAAGUCGAACGGAAAGGCCCUGCCUUUGUGGGGUGCUCGAGUGGCGAACGGGUGAGUAACACGUGAGUAACCUGCCCUUGACUUUGGGAUAACUUCAGGAAACUGGGGCUAAUACCGGAUAGGAGCUCCUGCUACAUGGUGGGGGUUGGAAAGUUUCGGCGGUUGGGGAUGGACUCGCGGCUUAUCAGCUUGUUGGUGGGGUAGUGGCUUACCAAGGCUUUGACGGGUAGCCGGCCUGAGAGGGUGACCAGCCACAUUGGGACUGAGAUACGGCCCAGACUGCAACGGGAGGCAGCAGUGGGGAAUAUUGCACAAUGGGGGGAAGCCUGAUGCAGCAACGCCGCGUGCGGGAUGACGGCCUUCGGGUUGUAAACCGCUUUAGCCUGAGACGAAGCGUGAGUGACGGUAAUGGGUAAAGAAGCACCGGCUAACUACGUG
RNAcentral lists this ribosomal RNA (468 nucleotides) under uncultured bacterium. RNAcentral's name for it is "partial 16S ribosomal RNA". It matches the Rfam family "Bacterial small subunit ribosomal RNA", at positions 28 to 507 of the family's 1533-position model. The record is from RNAcentral.